RNAcentral lists this ribosomal RNA (405 nucleotides) under uncultured bacterium. Its description in RNAcentral is "partial 16S ribosomal RNA". It matches the Rfam family "Bacterial small subunit ribosomal RNA", at positions 30 to 526 of the family's 1533-position model. The record is from RNAcentral.
AUUGAACGCUAGCGGGAUGCUUUACACAUGCAAGUCGAACGAGGGGCGGACGGGUGAGUAAGAAAUCGGAACGCGCCCAGUAGCGGGGGAUGACUACUCGUAAGAGUGGCUAAUACCGCAUACAAUGGGAGAGGCCGAUAUCGGCUUAGGUAGUUGGUGGGGUAAAGGCUCACCAAGGCCACGAGCCGUAGCUGGUUUGAGAGGCCGACCAGCCACACUGGGACUGAGACACGGCCCAGACUCCUACGGGAGGCAGCAGUGGGGAAUUUUGGACAAUGGGGGAAACCCUGAUCCAGCCAGCCCGAGUGUAUGAGAAGGCCUUCGGGUUGUAAAGUACUUUUGGCAGAGAAGCGGUAUCUGCAGAAUAAGCACCGGCUAACUACGUGCCAGCAGCCGCGGUAAUUC